GUUGAAACACUGGUUCUCAUACAAUCACUGAAGUUAAGCAACAUUGAGCCUGGUCAGUACCUAGAUGGGUAACCACUUGGGAAUACCAGGUUCUGUAAG
This 99-nucleotide ribosomal RNA is filed under the name Acanthosepion pharaonis. Lineage: Eukaryota; Metazoa; Mollusca; Cephalopoda; Sepiida; Sepiidae. The record is from RNAcentral.